Molecule: long non-coding RNA, 495 nt
Organism: Physella acuta
Lineage: Eukaryota; Metazoa; Mollusca; Gastropoda; Physidae
Source: RefSeq, a predicted model, not a curated record
UUGAUGUUAACUUAGCUAAAAGUUUUGUGAACACUGACAUUUUAAUAUACCGGAGUGAUUUAAGUAUAAUUUAUAAAACAUUUGGUUUUAGAAAUUUUACUUUCUCCAGAGUUAAAGAAAAGCACUUCGCAAUGAUGUAUCUAGCAAGAAGAAUUUUGCAAAUUGUUUUUUUAGGAUUUUUGUGUAUAAUGGUCAGUUGUCACGUGCUUAACAGCACUGAAUCCAUCAUGGCUACUUCACAACCAGCCACUGAAACAACACAUCAACCCACUAACAAUAACCACUCUGAAAACGCUGGCAAAUUAAAGGGUUCCCUUAAUCGUUUUGGAGCUGGACCUAGACACAUUUUUUAGAGCAUGUAUGGUCAAAAUGGUUUCCAUGGACUUCUUAGACCUGGUUGUGACAACCUACUAAAACAGAACUUGCAUUAGUUAAUUCCUGAAAACAAUGUAAACUUAUUAUGAAAUAAACCGGUAGUGAUCUCCCCUAAACUUU